This is a long non-coding RNA of Triticum aestivum (bread wheat), 444 nucleotides long. RefSeq lists it as uncharacterized. The record is from RefSeq and is a predicted model, not a curated record. The transcript has 2 exons. NCBI's taxonomy places the organism in Eukaryota, Viridiplantae, Streptophyta, Magnoliopsida, Poales, Poaceae.
GCAGCUGGAAGUAUUCUAAGUGUAUGGCAGAAGCAAGCUGAUGUAUCUCAAAGAUACACAAGUUGUUGGAGGUUUGGAAGAUGUACAAGUUGCUGGAGGUUUGGACGAUCUUACAAGUUGGUGGAGUGAUAAUAUAUAUUACCUCCGUCCCAAAUUAUGUUGUCUUAGACUAGAAGGUGUUUAGGUACAUCCGUAUCUAGACAAAUAAUUCGGUAGAUAGGGAGUAUGUAAUAUGCCUUCUUUGUUGAGCCUAAAGAUUUUACAAGUGUCACUUUGCUCAUUUUGGUGGUUGUUUUGGCACAUAAGCCAUGGAAUUCUCAUUUUGGAUGUGUGGCACAAUUUCUUUUCCUAGAAACAUAUGUACUUUGCAUUGUGGCAGAAUGUUCUUAUGUAUUUGAUUGGUUAAUGUUAUUGAAUGAGACCUUGCAUGUAACAUUGAUUAAA